UUAAGCAUAUCAAUAAGCGGAGGAAAAGAAAAUAACAAUGAUUCCCCUAGUAACUGCGAGUGAAGAGGGACAAGCUCAAAUUUUAAAUCUAUCGGGUUUUACCCGAUCGAGUUGUAAUUUGAAGAGGCGUUUUCUGUGUUUCUGAUCAGUCCAAGUCCUUUGGGAUAAGGCAUCAUGGAGGGUGAGAAUCCCGUCCGGUUGAUCAGAUUCGCUUUACGAUACGCUUUCUAAGAGUCAAGUUGUUUGGGAUUGCAGCUUAAAAUGGGAGGUAAAUUUCUCCUAAGGCUAAAUAACGGCGAGAGACCGAUAGCGAACAAGUACCGUGAGGGAAAGAUGAAAAGAACUUUGAAAAGAGAGUUAAACAGUACGUGAAAUUGUUGAAAGGGAAACGAUUGAAGCCAGUCGUACCUAUGGGUAAUCAGCCUUUUGGGUGUGAUUUUGUGGAGCGUGAGGAGUUAAACGCCUUCAUGCCUGCAUAUUCGUGCACUUUGGGUGUACUUGCCCGUAUGGUUGGUUAACAUCAAUUUUGGUGGUCAUAAAAUGACUGGAGGAAUGUAGCUUCGAUCUCGUAUUGAAGUGUUAUAGCCUUCGGUAGAUGUGAUGAUCGAGAUUGAGGAUUGCAACGGAUACCCUUCGGGGCUACCUGUCUGAUCUCUGAUCGUUGCUCUGGUGCCGAAAGCUUGCUUACGGUUAUCAAAGUCGAUGGUCAAUAGGUUAGAACGGGUUAAAUUCGUUAAGGAUGUUGACGUAAUGGCUUUAAACGACCCGUCUUGAAACACGGACCAAGGAGUCUAACAUAUAUGCGAGUGUUAGGGUGAUUAAACCCUUACGCGUAAUGAAAGUAAUUUUGGUGGGAACAUUUUUGUGCACCAUCGACCGAUCAGGAUAUUUUUUGAUAGAUUUGAGUAAGAGCAUAUCUGCUAGGACCCGAAAGAUGGUGAACUAUGCCUGAAUAGGGUGAAGUCAGAGGAAACUCUGAUGGAGGCUCGUAGCGGUUCUGACGUGCAAAUCGAUCGUCAAAUUUGGGUAUAGGGGCGAAAGACUAAUCGAACCAUCUAGUAGCUGGUUCCUGCCGAAGUUUCCCUCAGGAUAGCAGAAACUCGUUAACAGUUUUAUGAGGUAAAGCGAAUGAUUAGAGGCCUUAGGGUUGAAACAGCCUUAACCUAUUCUCAAACUUUAAAUAUGUAAGAAGUUUAUCGUUACUUAAUUGAACGUGAACAUUCGAAUGAGAUUUCUAUGGCCAUUUU
Molecule: ribosomal RNA, 1247 nt
Filed under: Glomus sp. MUCL 43204
Lineage: Eukaryota; Fungi; Glomeromycota; Glomeromycetes; Glomerales; Glomeraceae
Description: eukaryotic LSU rRNA
Rfam family: Eukaryotic large subunit ribosomal RNA
Source: RNAcentral